GUUCACUUUCCUGUUUGACUUUCAACAAUAAUUGCUAUCCCCAUUACUCUUCCUCACCGAACGCUGAGAAAAAAACGCACCAAAGAGUUACGUUUCAUAUUCUAAGGUAUUUAGUGGAAUUGAAGAUUUGGUUAUACCCAGUUUCAUAGCGUUCAUUUUUCGUUACACCCAGAUGAAUUAAGAUAUCUUUCUCACAAUUUUGUAUAUUUACUUUCUGUCGAAUCAACGAGGUUUUCUACUUUUAACUAACUUCAAUGAGUUUCCAAAUAAUAGCAGUAAAAUCAAUGGUUGCUCAAACUUAUAGAAAAAUAGAAAGAGAUUCCAACUCAACAAAAUGGUUGCCCACAAAUUCUGUAAUUGAACAAAAUGGCUUCCAAUAAGGAAUGGUCCAUAUUUUACCAACUUUUAGGAUCCCUACCUUCCUUUUAUCCCCCUUUCGACGGUUCACUUUCCCGUUUGACUUUCAACAAUAAUUGCUAUCUCCAUAACUCUUCCUCACCCAACGCUGAGAAAAAAACGCACCAAAGAGUUACGUUUCAUCUUCUAAGGUACUUAGUGGAAUUGAAGAUUUGGUUAUACCCAGUUUCAUAGCGUUCAUCUUUCGUUACACCCAAACGGAUUAAGAUAUCUUUCUCGUAAUUUUUGGUAUUUACUUUCUGUGGAAUCAACGAGAAUGUUGAAUUUAUUCAAACUCGCCAGCAUGGGAGACCAACAUUGCACAUCAGGUAUCGGUUAUUCAGGCCUAAGCAAUGGGCUUCUAUAUGAAAUCGAAAUCACGGAUGAGAAAAGUCCUUCAGAUAAAGACGGCAUAAGAACCUAUAGCGUACCCUACUCGAAUAAUCAGUGUCGGGAUAUAACAUCACAUUCAUAGGUAUGCCAUUCGUUAGGCAAAAUGGGUGCCAAAUGUAGACACCGUGAAACACUACUCUGCAUUUAACGGAAUGGACUAUCCUUACCUCGAGGAAUGAAGAAAUGCCUGCAUAUAAUGAUGCAGAUGUAUCAGGGAUUGUAUCACUCUUACUUGGCGGCAGAGUGGGUGGGAGAGGAUUUGAAGAUUGGAUUGACUGGGAAUAUGGGAUCUCCUUAUGAAAGUUUAAAGCAACGAAACCAGGGUUUACAGUCAUUUAAAGUUUUAUAUAACAGCUAGAAGAAUGAAGUUAUUAAUGACAGAUAGCAUUUUUCCAUAA
Long non-coding RNA from Papaver somniferum (opium poppy), 1187 nucleotides. RefSeq lists it as uncharacterized. The transcript has 4 exons. NCBI's taxonomy places the organism in Eukaryota, Viridiplantae, Streptophyta, Magnoliopsida, Ranunculales, Papaveraceae. The record is from RefSeq and is a predicted model, not a curated record.